RNAcentral lists this transfer RNA (70 nucleotides) under Marmota monax (woodchuck). RNAcentral's name for it is "tRNA.Ala". The record is from RNAcentral. Lineage: Eukaryota; Metazoa; Chordata; Mammalia; Rodentia; Sciuridae.
GGGCUGGGGCUCAGUGGUAGAGUGCUUGCUUAGCAUGCCUGAGGCACUGGUUUCAAUACCCAGCACCACA